GACGAACGCUGGCGGCGUGCUUAACACAUGCAAGUCGAACGGAAAGGCCCUGCUUUUGUGGGGUGCUCGAGUGGCGAACGGGUGAGUAACACGUGAGUAACCUGCCCUUGAAUUUGGGAUAACUUCAGGAAACUGGGGCUAAUACCGGAUAGGAGCUCCUGCUGCAUGGUGGGGGUUGGAAAGUUUCGGCGGUUGGGGAUGGACUCGAGGCUUAUCAGCUUGUUGGUGGGGUAGUGGCUUACCAAGGCUUUGACGGGUAGCCGGCCUGAGAGGGUGACCGGCCACAUUGGGACUGAGAUACGGCCCAGACUCCUACGGGAGGCAGCAGUGGGGAAUAUUGCACAAUGGGCGGAAGCCUGAUGCAGCAACGCCGCGUGCGGGAUGACGGCCUUCGGGGUGUAAACCGCUUUCGCCUGUGACGAAGCGUGAGUGACGGUAAUGGGUAAAGAAGCACCGGCUAACUACGUG
RNAcentral lists this ribosomal RNA (468 nucleotides) under uncultured bacterium. RNAcentral describes it as "partial 16S ribosomal RNA". It matches the Rfam family "Bacterial small subunit ribosomal RNA", at positions 28 to 507 of the family's 1533-position model. The record is from RNAcentral.